GCACAAGCGGCGGAGCAUGCGGAUUAAUUCGAUGCAACGCGAAGAACCUUACCAAGGCUUGACAUACACCGGUAACGCCCAGAGAUGGGUGCCCCUUUGUGGUCGGUGUACAGGUGGUGCAUGGUUGUCGUCAGCUCGUGUCGUGAGAUGUUGGGUUAAGUCCCGCAACGAGCGCAACCCUCGUCCUAUGUUGCCAGCGGGUCAUGCCGGGGACUCAUGGGAGACUGCCGGGGUCAACUCGGAGGAAGGUGGGAUGACGUCAAAUCAUCAUGCCCCUUAUGUCUUGGGCUUCACGCAUGCUACAAUGGCCGGUACAAAGGGCUGCGAUACCGCGAGGUGGAGCGAAUCCCAGAAAGCCGGUCUCAGUUCGGAUUGGGGUCUGCAACUCGACCCCAUGAAGUCGGAGUCGCUAGUAAUCGCAGAUCAGCAACGCUGCGGUGAAUACGUUCCCGGGCCUU
RNAcentral lists this ribosomal RNA (458 nucleotides) under uncultured Curtobacterium sp. RNAcentral describes it as "bacterial SSU rRNA". It matches the Rfam family "Bacterial small subunit ribosomal RNA", at positions 923 to 1382 of the family's 1533-position model. Lineage: Bacteria; Bacillati; Actinomycetota; Actinomycetes; Micrococcales; Microbacteriaceae. The record is from RNAcentral.